GGAGUUGUGGCUCAGUGGUAGAAAGCUCACCUAGCAAGUGUGAGUCACUUGGUUCGAUCCUCAGCACCA
RNAcentral lists this transfer RNA (69 nucleotides) under Marmota monax (woodchuck). RNAcentral describes it as "tRNA.Ala". Lineage: Eukaryota; Metazoa; Chordata; Mammalia; Rodentia; Sciuridae. The record is from RNAcentral.